GGUUACCUGUCAUGCCCCUGGUCUGCCACAAGGAGGAGGAAGAGAUUCUCUUCCCUGUGCAGCCAUGGAGGGAGGGAGAGACUGGCCCCUGCUUCUUAACAGCUACAUCCUUGUGGAAAGGCCAACAGAAAACUAAGCAACAAAGCUCCUGUCCCUGCUUCUGUUAAAUGGCAAAGCUCUCCUUCUCUUCUUGGCACCAUGAUGACCUGCAAAAUCAAUGUUAUGGGUGCCUCAAAUACCUACCACAUCAAGCAUAAAAACUGAACUGCUACCACCAAGUGUUUUGCCAGCUUGCAAGAAGCAGCUCCUUUUAGCUGCUUGCUAUCAACAGUCUGGCCUUGAAGCACUGUUUUCACUCAGGAGUGCUCUGAGAGUGUAAAAUAACCCUGAAACCAGAAUAGAUAAGGCCAGGUUUAAUCCAUGACUCAUCCUUGACUUUUUGUCGAAAUUUUCUGUGACAAAACAACACAACCUUACUGGUUAUUGGCUAAAAAAAUAGAACUUUAUACAAAUGGAAAAAAGAACUCCCUGCUCCACUCCAGAAAGAUGUUCUGAUUACAAAUUGAAACAGCACAAGUUGAAACAGAAAUGCUAAGCAGGAAAAUAAACCCGGAAGUUGCUGAAACAUGAAACUCCAACGCCUUUCAUCACCACGACCUAGAUAAAUCCACCCCCAUGCAUACUGAUACGAUCCAAUAUGAUCUGAAAAUGUCAGACACCACUAUGGCUACAGCAAUUCCUUUGAAGUUACUGAAAUUAAAGUAUCUUGGCUUCUUUACUAUAUGCUAAAACUCUUUCUACUGGUGUUAAUGUUGUUCUCUCCAAACAUACAACAACAAUAUUCUUGUGAAAAAACUAUUCUAAUUCCAUGGAUUAAUCAGGAUGCAUGAGAAAGGAGGACAGUCUCACCUCAAAUUGCAGGAAAAUCUCACCAGUAACUUUUCAUGAAAAUACAGCACAUGAUGACUUCAUGAGGAUUGCACCAGUACCACUAAGGCAGACUAUGACUCAUGUCUUUAACAGAGGUUUAAGACUAGAAACCUGGAGCAGCAAAUCACUGUAGGACAAGCUUGCACAUGUUUCUGUUCUUUGCUCAAUCACAGGUUUUCCAUCCCGUCACCUUGUCUUUAGCCAGGUAAACCUUCUUAGCAGAUGAACCUGUAUUUGACUAAGUAAUACAAACUGACAUGUAAAAUGUCACCUACUUAAACAUAUCUGCUUCCUGCUUAUAUUCAAAAUCAUACUUUUAUGUUAGUGAGAAAAAUAUAAUAGCGAGUUUUGACUGCUUAUUACUCCUAAUAGCCUUUCAAAGGCCAAACUGUUAUGAAGUUCAUAGUUAGAUUAUUUCUAGAUCAUGUAUAAUCAACAGGGAUCUGAGUUUUCUGUUUCCCAUGGUGUUGCACCACAGCCUAACCAGCGACCGACUUUGAGAGUACCCAAAGUGAGCUCUCCUCCCCUCAUUUGCCAUGACUUGGUGUUAAUAUUAUUCUAAGGAGGGGUUCAGUGAUGUCAGUACAGAGGUCCCUGUUAGGGGUACUCAUGGUUUGGAUGUGGUUGACAUUGGGGCUCCACCUCUCCUACACCCUGGCCACACACAAACCAUCGGUGUUGAGGCAUUGAAGACAUUUGCGGCACCUCUGGCCUUGUCCGAUCCUCCAGUGGUUGCUGGCUGUUGACCCAACAUUGACCUCUCAGGGGUUGCUGCCUCCGUCUAUACAGUCUCUAUUGCCCUGCUUGGCCGUAUGCCUACCCUUGGCACUCUGAGAGGUAGGCUCAUGACUGGCCCUAACUCAGAGGCACAGGUACCCUGGCUUUGUGGCCUUACCAACUUCAGUCAAAAGAAAUAAUACUAAGGAAACAAAAAAGCCUCCACUCUGGAUGGACUGUCUAUUCCAGGCUCAAUAAGCCCCUGAAUGAGUGAAUGAGUGUCCCUUACUCCCUUUUUCAAGGAAUAGUCCCUGAACAGUGUUGGAGCUGUUGUCUCCCCUCAUCACUGGUAGGGCUUUCCUGCCCUGGGCUAGCAGGGUACCUGUGGCUCAAGUGCCUCCCUGGCCCAGUAUCUUGAGGCCGCUCCUGCCUUGGCCUCUGCUGGCCAGGAGGCAGUUCCUCUCCCCCUGCUCCCCACUGGUACUCUGAGUGCUUUUUAAAUUCCCUGCAGUGGCAACUGUGCCUAACCUCAUCAGCCGGGCACUGCCUAGGUUAAUUGACAGGGGUCUUUAAAAAUCACAGUGGUGGCGUCGCGUGUUGCCGCAGCUCUGGCUCUCCCAGCCCUGAAGGUAAGUUUUCCUUUUUUCCUGGGACUCUCUGCUCGGUCCAUUCUGAAUCAACCAGGGAUCUUGGGUUACUCAGGAAGUGUGUACUCCCUAUCAUCACACAUGGAAAAAACCACAGAUUUUCCUUUUUACCAGAGAAAAAACAAUGAUUUUUCAUUUUGACAGAAAAACACGUGGAUUUUGCUGUUUUGCAAAGAGCUCUCUGCCGGCUGGCAGAGUUACAGCCUGUAAGGGGCUGGGGGGAGUGGGAGGAAGUGGCCUGUCAGGCAGGGGGCACCCCACCAGACUUAACCUGUGGGAGCUGCUCUUUUGCCAGGGCAACGUGGGUCUCACCAUGGCAAGGAGCCUUCCCACUCAGCCCUGCUCUGCCCUGCUGUGCUGGGUCCUGCUUGCUGGGUCACAGAGGCCCCCGGAGAGGGUAGCAGAGUGGGGAGCCCAAGCCCACAGUGGGCAGCCUGCACCUAACCCCCACACCUGCCCCGCACAUAGAUCUGGGAGGCAUGAGUCCCUGCCUCCCCAGGAGUGCACACAGUGGUGAGGAGGUCCCACCCUCCUGCCCAAGCCUGCAGCAGGCAGCCUGCAACACCCCCCCACCCAUCCCUAUAGGCUUUGCUCGGGCCAUGCUGCCCGAGGGAGACCCAGGCUCCCUGCUUGGGCCACAGCAGCCUCCUGAGGGCAGCAGCCAGGGCACAAAGGCUGUUGCAGGGGGUAGGGGGCUGUGGAUCCAGGUCCCUUGUACUGUAGCCCUGGUAGCAGGGUGCCCCCUCCUACAGAGCUGGGGGAGGGGUAAGGGACUGUGGGUAGGGGAUGAGGGACACCAGCAGGGCUGAGGGGCUGUGGCUUGGGAGUAAGGGGCCUGGACCUGUGUCCUAGUGAGCUAAGAGGGCAGGGUGAGCUCUGAUUUUCUAUGAUAAAAAACCCAAAAUUAAAUACCAAAACAUAUAGAUACUUAGAAUUUAUUUUACUAUGGUUAUGGAGGCAGUGGUAGGCUUCCAAAUUGCUUUACAAUGGUAAAUAUAUCAAUAAAACAUUGUGUUCAAUUGAUACAUACAUA
This is a long non-coding RNA of Alligator mississippiensis (American alligator), 3327 nucleotides long. RefSeq lists it as uncharacterized. The transcript is spliced from 2 exons. The record is from RefSeq and is a predicted model, not a curated record. NCBI's taxonomy places the organism in Eukaryota, Metazoa, Chordata, Crocodylia, Alligatoridae.